GGCUGAUCACUGGGUGUAAAGAGUGCGCAGGCGGUUUUGUAAGACAGAGGUGAAAUCCCCGGGCUCAACCUGGGAACUGCCUUUGUGACUGCAAGGCUGGAGUGCGGCAGAGGGGGAUGGAAUUCCGCGUGUAGCAGUGAAAUGCGUAGAUAUGCGGAGGAACACCGAUGGCGAAGGCAAUCCCCUGGGCCUGCACUGACGCUCAUGCACGAAAGCGUGGGGAGCAAACA
This 230-nucleotide ribosomal RNA is filed under the name uncultured Alicycliphilus sp. RNAcentral describes it as "partial 16S ribosomal RNA". It matches the Rfam family "Bacterial small subunit ribosomal RNA", at positions 550 to 774 of the family's 1533-position model. The record is from RNAcentral. Lineage: Bacteria; Pseudomonadati; Pseudomonadota; Betaproteobacteria; Burkholderiales; Comamonadaceae.